UCCCUUUUCGACCCGUGCGAGUCUCACCACUGCGUGUCACACCGCGGGUGUGUGUGUGUUGAAUCUAAAGUUUUGCAACAUUAAAAGUUUAUUUUAAGGCAAUCACUAAUCAUAUAUAUAUAUAUAUAUAUAUAUAUAUAUAUAUAUAUGUGAUUAGAUGUAACUGGUUAAACUUAAAGCCGAUAUUUUCUAUCGAACUAGUCUAUUUUCUGUUCAGACACAAAGUUUUCUGAUGGUGAUAUUAUGACAGUGUGUGUUUGUGUGGGGGUCGUGUGAUGUAAUCUUUGAAAGUUUAUGACCGAACCUUUAUUGGGGAGCGACAAGAGAGCUCCGGCAUCAGUUUGGAUGGAGCAGAGCUGUUAUACUCAAGUCUAUUGCGAAAUUGUCUAAACUGGUAUUAACUAUUCCUGGUAAAUCGCGGAGAAGAGUGGAAUGAACAAAAAAGUCAGACCGUGACUAGAACCACCAGCAGCGUAACAAGGAAAUCUUGGAGCAAAGAGACGCCGAGUGGCUCGUGUUGUCCGGUUUGGAUAUCAGCGGCAAAGCGAACGUUGCGUGUACUAUUGCAAAAUAUAUAGC
Molecule: non-coding RNA, 579 nt
Organism: Paramisgurnus dabryanus
Lineage: Eukaryota; Metazoa; Chordata; Actinopteri; Cypriniformes; Cobitidae
Source: RefSeq, a predicted model, not a curated record